CUUGGGUAGCAAACAGGAUUAGAUACCCUAGUAGUCCAAGCAGACAAUGAUGAAUGUCAUGCAUUAGAUAUAAAUAUUUAAUGCAUAAACGAAAGUGUAAGCAUUCCACCUCAAGAGUACUAUGGCAACAUAUAAACUGAAAUCAUUAGACCGUUUCUAAAACCAGUAGUGAAGUAUGUUAUUUAAUUCGAUAAUCCGCGAAAAACCUUACCACAGCUUGUAUAUCAUAUUUAAAUAGUGAAACAAGCGCUGCAUGGCUGUCUUUAGUUAAUGUCGUGAGAUUUGGUUAAUUCC
This 294-nucleotide ribosomal RNA is filed under the name Penicillium buchwaldii. Its description in RNAcentral is "partial small subunit ribosomal RNA". It matches the Rfam family "Bacterial small subunit ribosomal RNA", at positions 760 to 1087 of the family's 1533-position model. The record is from RNAcentral. Lineage: Eukaryota; Fungi; Ascomycota; Eurotiomycetes; Eurotiales; Aspergillaceae.